RNAcentral lists this ribosomal RNA (429 nucleotides) under uncultured bacterium. RNAcentral's name for it is "bacterial SSU rRNA". It matches the Rfam family "Bacterial small subunit ribosomal RNA", at positions 355 to 776 of the family's 1533-position model. The record is from RNAcentral.
UGGGGAAUCUUGCGCAAUGCGCGAAAGCGUGACGCAGCAACGCCGCGUGAGGGAAGAAGGCCUUCGGGUUGUAAACCUCUUUCAGGAGGGACGAAGGUUCAGGGGCGAAUAGCCUCCUGGACUGACGGUACCUCCAGAAGAAGCUCCGGCUAACUACGUGCCAGCAGCCGCGGUAAUACGUAGGGAGCAAGCGUUGUCCGGAAUCAUUGGGCGUAAAGCGCGCGUAGGCGGCCCGGUAAGUCCGCUCUGAAAGUCAAAGGCUCAACCUUUGAAAGCGGGUGGAUACUGUCGGGCUAGAGUCCGGAAGAGGCGAGUGGAAUUCCUGGUGUAGCGGUGGAAUGCGCAGAUAUCAGGAGGAACACCAACGGCGAAGGCAGCUCGCUGGGACGGUACUGACGCUAAGGCGCGAAAGCGUGGGGAGCGAACAGG